This 484-nucleotide ribosomal RNA is filed under the name uncultured bacterium. RNAcentral's name for it is "partial 16S ribosomal RNA". It matches the Rfam family "Bacterial small subunit ribosomal RNA", at positions 28 to 507 of the family's 1533-position model. The record is from RNAcentral.
AUUGAACGCUGGCGGCAUGCUUUACACAUGCAAGUCGAACGGCAGCGCGGGCUUCGGCCUGGCGGCGAGUGGCGAACGGGUGAGUAAUGCAUUGGAACGUGCCCAGUAGUGGGGGAUAGCCCGGCGAAAGCCGGAUUAAUACCGCAUACGGCCUGAGGGUGAAAGCGGGGGACCGAAAGGCCUCGCGCUAUUGGAGCGGCCGAUGUCGGAUUAGCUAGUUGGUGGGGUAAAGGCUUACCAAGGCGACGAUCCGUAGCUGGUCUGAGAGGACGACCAGCCACACUGGGACUGAGACACGGCCCAGACUCCUACGGGAGGCAGCAGUGGGGAAUUUUGGACAAUGGGGGCAACCCUGAUCCAGCCAUGCCGCGUGCGGGAAGAAGGCCUUCGGGUUGUAAACCGCUUUUGUUCGGGAAGAAAUCCUCUGGGCUAAUACCCCGGGGGGAUGACGGUACCGGAAGAAUAAGCACCGGCUAACUACGUG